Molecule: long non-coding RNA, 864 nt
Organism: Spinacia oleracea (spinach)
Lineage: Eukaryota; Viridiplantae; Streptophyta; Magnoliopsida; Caryophyllales; Amaranthaceae
Exons: 4
Source: RefSeq, a predicted model, not a curated record
CCUCACUUAUUUUCUCUCUUCCCCUUGUCGUGCUUCCCUUCUCCCUCCUCUUUAUACCGAGCUUCCUUCCUCUCUUCACUUGGCUCUCUCUCUCCUCCUCAUUCCACCACGACGCCCCACCACAACGCUUCCCUCGCCUCCCUUCCUCGUCAGUUGCCGCCGGUGUUGCGGAUUGUUGUUGAUCGCUGUAUUGCUUCUCCGCUUCCCCUCUCGUGCUGCUUUGUGUUGCCACCGCCGUUAGUGGUGGCCACUAGUCCACCAUUCACACCUCAUCCCUAAUCGCCACCGCCGCCGCCUCCCCUUUGCUGCUGCAUGCAGCCGCCGCCGCUGUGUUGUUGUUCUCGAUCUUGGGAUUGUUGAAUUCCCUUCUUACUCUUCCAAUUUAAUCAAGGUGAGUGGAGAACGAUUAAGGUGAAUCAAAGUACGGGGUUAUGCGGAGAGCCGUGACCAAGUGUGUAGCCUUGGAGUAUAUAUAUAUGUGGUGAUUCGAGAGUUAAAAUGUUUUGCAGGUAGCAAGAGUCGAGUCUCAUUUCAGAUUCAAGGUUCGUGGAGUUCUCCAAUGGCCUUGUGUGUCCAAGGUUGGAUUAUGGAUUCGCCAAAUGUAAUGUAGUUUCCUAGAGUUUGUUAAUUAGGCUGUAUAAUUUUCUUCUUAAAGUUUUUGGUUUAUAAUUUAUGGUUUAUAUAUCUGUAUUGGAGUCGUAGUUAAGUUAAUUUUCUUUGGUUUAAGGUUAAGUGUGCUUAGAAGUAGCUCAUUACGUGUGGGCUGUUAUAGUGACCCCUGGUGAUGUUUUGGGAUAUGUUAUAUGUUGGAUUGAUGUCAUUAAAGCAGGUGAAGGAGAAUCUGACGUAAUUUCCUAAAUAAUA